Molecule: RNA transcript, 3116 nt
Organism: Myotis brandtii (Brandt's bat)
Lineage: Eukaryota; Metazoa; Chordata; Mammalia; Chiroptera; Vespertilionidae
Exons: 2
Source: RefSeq, a predicted model, not a curated record
ACAACCCGGGCGUGUGCCCUGACCGGGAAUUGAACCCUGACCUCCUGGUUCAGAGGUCCACGCUCAAUUCACUGAGCCCCCCGGCAGGGUGAGUGUGUUUUAACUGGGCUUAGGACACUUGUAGGUCUGCAGAAAACCUGUGGAGGUGGCACGCAGUUCCUCCACCCUGUCCCCAGUCCCCCCGUAUUCACAUCUUUGAUUUGUAUGAUCCAUUUGCCCCAGUAUCAACACAUUGUUAUCAACAGAAGCCCACACAUUAUUCAGGAUUUCCGGGGGCCCCCAUGUCUUUCUCCUGUCCCAGGAGCCCGUCUGGGACACCUCGCUACCUGUGGCCAUCGUGUCCCCUCAUGGCGGCGACAGUUCUCAGACGUCCCUUGUCGUGGUGACUUGCCCAGAGGAGGCCUGUCCUCAGUUGGAAUUUGAUGUUUUUCUCAUGACUGGGGCUGUGGGUCAUGGGGAAGAAGGCACUGGGCAGAAUGCCACUCUCACCACGUCACGGCCAAGGGACAUACUGCCAACGCGAUUUGUCACUCACGCUGGGGCGUGUCUGCCAGGUGUUUGCACGUGAGGUCCCUCCUGCCCCCACUUCCAUACCGUCCCGCGCUGAGGGAGCGGGAACGGCCGAGCACCCAACACCGUGGACCAGCCCCUCCCGGUCAAACCCCGGGCAGCUCCUCCUGCCCCCGGGAUGAAGCUGACCUCCUGGCCCUGGCCGGUGUGGCUCAGUGGUAGAGCCCACACACCGAAGGGUCUCGGGUUCGAUGGCUGGGCAAGGGCACACACCUGGGUAGCAGGUUCGAUCCUCAGCCCCAGGUCCCUCCCUCCCUUCCACUCCCUCUGAAAAAAACCUGUGGAAAGCCUGUCACCAAGGCCAGGCCGGUGAGGACGCGGUGAGAGGGCGCUGGCUGUAGCCGGAAGGGGUUCGCACAGUCACUGCAGCUGCGGGCACCUCGAUCCUGGACUUACAGCCCCCAGGACUGUGAGAAGUAAUUGUCUUGUUGUUUAAGCCAAAAAAGUACAUAAAUUUAAAAAAGGGCAAGAAUAGCCUCGGGAGAGGAUUUAGGAAAAAAUUAAAAAGUCGUCAUCAAGCUUGAAAAUGCUUACAAGGGAGAGAGGGCCCAAGAAAGCAACACCGCGGAUUGGAGAGAACGAAGCAGCCGAGAGCUCUCCGAGGAGGUUCUGCGAGAGGUGGGAACAGCAGGAGCCAAACGGAGGAGAACUUGAAGGCUCCAGGAGACGUUCCCUUACACCUUUGUUUGGAAUUUCGGACAGAAUGGGGCGGGGAAUUGUGAGAAGAGAUAGUUGCCUGGGAAUGAUCCAGAACUGAUGAAAAGAUGUCAACCUACAGGUCUGAAGAGGCCAAAUAUUUGCCGAGUGACUAAGUGGAUGGGAGAUUCCGCGAUUCGUGUGCCCUGCCCCGCCUCGCCCUUAGCCCUGGGCCUCAGUGGGUGGGAAGCCCCCCACCGCCUCUCCCGCGCUCGGCGCCCGUGGGAGCCAGUCCGCGGAACUGAGCCCUGCCAGCCCCGUGCCUCCUGUGCCAGAUGUCCUUCACCCACUGCUCGGCCCCUGUUGCCUGCCUCCUAGUUGCCGCUCAGGCUUAAAAUAGACAGGAAUGCAGCCCAGCUACCGUGCUGUGACCAGCCCAGCCUGCAACCCAGAACCUGCCCCUCGGGGAACAGGAGCAGCUAAACCUCCUUGGCCGCCUUUCUUUCUUGGAACAAAGGGAAGCAUUUCACACCAGAAAAACCACCCAGUACCCUUCCAGCCAGAGGCGAGGCGGGGAAGACAAGACGGUGAGGAAGGGUUUGUGUUGUCUUCCCUCUGUGGUGCCUCAGGGACCCGGCCACCACCCAGACUAGGCCCUGACCCCCACCCCCCAGCUGACCUGUCAAGGAGCCAUGCUUUUCUAGAAAUAGAAUUAAUGCCUUAUUUCUGCAGCAAAGGAACUGAGGCGGGAAUUAGCCCUAUUCUCCAGAUGGGAAAACGGAGGUCCCAGAGCAAAGCAAUUUGCUUUUCUUGUCAGUUGCCAGAACCCAGGUUCUCCGGUUCCCAGACCAGCUGUGUCCUCGCCUGCCACCUCCAAGCAGGCGCCUGCUGUGUCUGAACAGGGCCACCAGACUCUGCAGGGGACAGUCGUCUGGGGUUCCCGACCCCAGGAGAGGACAGGUCACUGGCAAGGACAGGGCACACUGGAGGGAAGGUUUCAGGCAGCUCACAAAGGAGAACGUGAAACGCACAGGUUGACGGAGAGCGAACGAAGCCGGGGGUCCCCACGUGGAGUCAGGCACAUGCUUCAUAGCCCUUCGCUUUCCUGGGCGCCACAGAGGUUUCAGAUUUUACAGAGUGAAGGCCAGACCCUCCCCGGCCGGGAGAUGACCCCUGGCUUCGUUGCCGUGUCCUGGGACCCAGGCCGAGGCCCGCCGGACGGAUCGCACGCCCCAGCACGCAUGAACCUUGAACAGAUUGCGCAAAGCGAAAGAAGCCGGCCACGAAAGCACAGAGGACGGUGUGGCGCGCUGAGUAGCAAUCCUGCGAGAAAACCCACAUCCUCACCCCCAGCACCUGCCACGCUGCCUCCUGUAGCCGAUGGGGCCUGGCAGGUGCCAGGCGGUCAGGGACCCUGCGGCAGGACAGCCUCCCGGUGACCAGGUGGCUGGAGCCCUUCUAAGAGGGAGGCAGGGUCGGAGGCAGGGCCGUGUGGCCCGGGGUAGGAGGGCGUGCGAGUGGUGUGCCCUCAACAUGGAAGGGGCCACCUCCCAGCUAAGGAGAGCAGGGCCUCGAGAAGCUUCCGGAAGGCAGAAGGAGCCGGUCCUGCCAGCACCGCAGCGGAGACUCCUGGAUUCCUGGUGUCCAGGCGAGAAGAGAGACAGACACUUAUUCCAGCUGGCGGCGGUGAAAGCAGCCCGGGAACCGCAGACGCGGGGGUGCACAUGGUACGCGUGCAGUUAAACACGACACGGAUGAUGAAACGAAGAGGCGAGAGCCUGGGGAGGAGGCGGCAGAUUUGGGGGAUCCGAUAAGGCAGCCCCUCUUCAAAGGAGAGAGUGAGCCCUGGCCCGUGUGGCCCAAGGGUUAGAGCGUCUGCCUGUGGACCGAAGGGUCUCGGGCUCAAUUCC